RNAcentral lists this unclassified non-coding RNA (427 nucleotides) under Turnera brasiliensis. RNAcentral's name for it is "partial external transcribed spacer". The record is from RNAcentral. Lineage: Eukaryota; Viridiplantae; Streptophyta; Magnoliopsida; Malpighiales; Passifloraceae.
CAUUCCUUUGCGAACGCAAUCCGCGCAACUCUCCCCCGUCAGGACUGGCGGGACAAAAUCCGCAACGGGCGCGAUAGUCGUUCUUUUCGAGGCACAAGGCAACCCGAUAGGACAACUAGGGAGAGGCAAGCCCUCCCCGCCCGCAUAACUUUCCGCAUCCGAAACCACGAGCAAUAGACAUAUGCUCCAACACAGACAGGUCAUGGCGUGCGUGGAACACGUGCAUCGCUACGAGGUUGGCCCCAUGCCAUGAGAGGCAAAGGGCGAAGGAGCACAAUCAUCAAGUUCAAUUUCCACCGUAGUGGGUAAGCAGCACAGGAACCUAGCGUCGCCACGAAAAAGAUUCGGGCCUUUGUAUCUGAAGCGAUCGCGGGAAAGUAGUUCGGUGCGCGAAGCAUGGAGCCUACCUUCCCACACGAUCCUAACA